GUCUACGGCCAUACCACGUUGAAAGCACCAGUUCUCGUCCGAUCACUGAAGUUAAGCAACGUCGGGCUCGGUUAGUACUUGGAUGGGUGACCGCCUGGGAACACCGAUUGCUGUAGACU
RNAcentral lists this ribosomal RNA (119 nucleotides) under Lottia gigantea (owl limpet). The record is from RNAcentral. Lineage: Eukaryota; Metazoa; Mollusca; Gastropoda; Lottiidae.